UUUUUUCCUGAAGACAAGUCCUUGUUCUCAGCAAAGUGCCCUGAUGCAUUGCCAGAGUAAAUUGAAUCCCAGAUCCUGAUGCUUCACUUCAGGGAUGUGUCCAUGGAUUGGACUGCCUUGGUGAUAGUUCCUGGAUGCUUCUGUCUCAUCAAUACUGGGCUCCACGUGGCAGAUUCCUGAGCCCUUGGAGGUCUUGGGAGGGCAGAGAGUCAACAUGGAGGAACCUGAUGUCCUGCCAUACUGAAGAGCUUCAAGCUGAAUGAGUGAACUUUUUUUUAUCUCUAUUUGGCACCCGGGAAGAUCCUUGCUGGAGGUGCAUGACUCGGAGGUGCCUGAUCUGGAGGCGCGUUACUUGCAGGUGCAUCACUUGUGGAUAAGCAGCACCCAAAUCCAGACCCACGCAGGGGAAAACGAGCUACAUCCCAAGGAAAACCCUCUCUCCAGUGUUGACAAUGUGUUAAAUAACGUGGGGCCAAGGACAGAUCCAAGCGCUUAGAACUGAGGAACGUCUCUAGAAAUGUUCCUGCUUCGGUGCCAGCUCCUGGUUUGUCCUUAAGCUGAGGGAUCAGCUUGUAAAGCUGUUGAUGUCUUGGCUGCAGGGAGAGAGGAGAAAAUGCAACUGCUCUGAGAAUUGGGCCCUUCCCUCCUCCAGAGCCCCCAGCACUCAACCUUUGAACAUCACAGACUCAAGCCUGGCUGAUGGAUGCUUGGAGCCCAGCAGGACUUAAACACUGCAUGCAUGGAUGCAUGGAUGGAUGGAUAGGGCCAGCCUGGCCACUGCUCCUGUGCCAUGGCAGUGCUGAUGCCUGCUGGGCAGCCUGUUUCAUCACUUACAUGAUCACAAGGGGAAAAGCUGGUGAUGGAGAGUCCAAUUUUGGCAGCUGACAGGCAAGAGCAUGACUGUGACUUUCUGGUGCAGGACCUUGUGCUUGGCCAAUGCAUGUGAGAACUUCAAAGCCCAGUGAGUUAUGCCCCUUCUCUACCCAAAACCCUGCAUCUGGGAACAACCAGACUUAUCUGCCUUUAAAUCCCAAAAGAUUUCCAUGUGUUUUUAAGUUUUAGAAACGGAAAGGAAGACCAGUGAUUUGCAUUUUUGGGUGAGCUUGAGGAAAAACCUAUUGUUGGUGACUCUGUGGGGAGAGGUUUGCUUCUAUCCCAGUGAUUCCUCACCCUAAAAAGGAUAUAUCCUCAUUUAUCUGCUUCAGGGAGAUGCUGUUGAGCUUAAUUCCCAGUACCAGUGAAAUGUUUGAAAGAGAGCUAUUUUUCCCCACCAAAAGCUCUUCCUCGAUGUUGCCUUAGUUUUCAGCUUUUAUCCUGAUGGUGAAUGAAAAUUAUCCCAGGGUUUAUACCUGCACUACCUGAACUUCAACUUGUGACACAAUUUGGUCGUAGCCAACAUUGCACCAAGAACCUUCCAGCCUCUUUGGAAAUGAGGGAAUUGAGUUAUUUAAAGCAAUUGGGCCCCUGCUUUGUGCUGUGUAAUGAUACUUUAUAGUUAAGAGCAUUUAAAACUUCAGGGCCAAGUUCUGCAGUUCUCCGCUGCCCAGAGCUGCCUUUGAUUCCAGCGAGGGUUUUGUACAAGUGAAAACGUCAUAAUUGAGCCCUUAAUCAGCAUUUCUUUUACUGCUGGGGCUUGAAUGCUCUUGAGAAGAGGCUCCAUAUACAAUUGAAGCUAUACUUAUGGCUAAAUGGUGUAGAAAUUAUGAAUAUAGAUGAAAACACUCGAUGUACAAUUUUUGUCGCCGCGUGCAGAAAACGCGCGAUAUUUAGGGCAACAUUUUCUAUCCUUUCAUCUUUUCUGGCACCGUUUCUACCUGUUCAUCACUGUGAUUAAAAUUCCGUGGCAGGAAUUAGCUGUGCGUGUGACUGGGGGAUGCUGAAGGUUGUUGUCUGGGAGCGGGCAGCUGCUCGGUUUGAUCCGGGCUGCUCUGGGGAGAUCAGCAUAGAGAGCAGGGGAGAGGGAGAGGAGGAGGAGGAAGGGUCACAGCAAAGGAGAUCGAAGGGAAAAAGAGGGGGUGACAGCAAGA
Molecule: long non-coding RNA, 2027 nt
Organism: Myiozetetes cayanensis
Lineage: Eukaryota; Metazoa; Chordata; Aves; Passeriformes; Tyrannidae
Exons: 6
Source: RefSeq, a predicted model, not a curated record